RNAcentral lists this ribosomal RNA (515 nucleotides) under uncultured bacterium. Its description in RNAcentral is "partial 16S ribosomal RNA". It matches the Rfam family "Bacterial small subunit ribosomal RNA", at positions 28 to 523 of the family's 1533-position model. The record is from RNAcentral.
GAUGAACGCUGGCGGCGUGCCUAAUACAUGCAAGUCGAGCGAAUGGAUUAAGAGCUUGCUCUUAUGAAGUUAGCGGCGGACGGGUGAGUAACACGUGGGUAACCUGCCCAUAAGACUGGGAUAACUCCGGGAAACCGGGGCUAAUACCGGAUAACAUUUUGAACCGCAUGGUUCGAAAUUGAAAGGCGGCUUCGGCUGUCACUUAUGGAUGGACCCGCGUCGCAUUAGCUAGUUGGUGAGGUAACGGCUCACCAAGGCAACGAUGCGUAGCCGAGCUGAGAGGGUGAUCGGCCACACUGGGACUGAGACACGGACCAGACUCCGACGGGAGGCAGCAGUAGGGAAUCUUCCGAAAGGGACGAAGGUCUGACGGAGCAACGCCGCGUGAGUGAGGAAGGCUUUCGGGUCGUAAAACUCUGUUGUUAGGGAAGAACAAGUGCUAGUUGAAUAAGCUGGCACCUUGACGGUACCUAACCAGAAAGCCACGGCUAACUACGUGCCAGCCGCCGCGGUAA